Molecule: ribosomal RNA, 205 nt
Filed under: uncultured bacterium
Lineage: Bacteria
Description: partial 16S ribosomal RNA
Rfam family: Bacterial small subunit ribosomal RNA
Source: RNAcentral
AGGCAGACGGCGAAGCAAGUCUGAAGUGAAAUGCAUGGGCUCAACCCAUGAAUUGCUUGGAAACUGUUUGGCUUGAGUGUCGGAGGGGUAAGCGGAAUUCCUAGUGUAGCGGUGAAAUGCGUAGAUAUUAGGAGGAACACCGGAGGCGAAGGCGGCUUACUGGACGACAACUGACGUUGAGGCUCGAAGGCGUGGGGAGCAAACA